GCCCUCGGGGGAAUGAUCACGCAGCGCCGACGUGCAGGACUCGGCCAGGGUGCGAGCAGCAGGAAGUCAAGCCUGUCGCGCUGCCGGGGAUGCAGGCUUUCUCAUUUUGACAACCAGUCAGCAAUGAGGCCCCGAAAACUGCAUUUCCUUACGUGUGUUAAUAUCUUCGCAGUUUAAACUUCCUGCACAGAUCAUGUGUAGUGAAAAGAAAAAUACGACAAAUUUCAGCGAGUCCACGUUGACUGACAUCUGGUGCAGCGAAGAGCUGCCUUGAAGAGACACCCUCGUGCCGGCAGUGUUCGACUAGCAGGAGUCCACUUGCACGCACCGAGAUGCUGCUACGCUGGACCUUUGCGUUCUUCUGGCUAUGACCUACCUUGGCAUGCUGCAAACCAUGGCAGUGGCACAAACGGACAUUAAGCUUGCAGCCGUGAACUUCGCACCCCCUCCCCCUCACAUACACACGCACGCACACGCAUACACGCAUACACUUCUGCCUUGCAGCCCGGCCCUCUCAUAGCCGGCUCUAAGGGAAGAAUUUGUCCCAUUUUCUGCAGUUAAGUAACAACGCUGAACAAGUCGUUUGAUUCGCUGGGGGAUGACGCGAACUGGCUGAAGAGAAGCGUUUCAAAUCAUUUCCAGGUGACGCAGCACCAACAAAAAUGAAGAAAUAAUAUAAACAGAAAAAUAUAAAAUAAAGAAUCCGCUCAUUAUUAUAGUGCGCUUUUAGGAGGCAUUUAAGAGGAAAGAUACACUUCUUGACGCUUAAACACUCUCCUUUGUGCCUCUAAAGGAAAGUCGAAAACGACUACGUGUUCCUUUGUGUCAAAUUUAUGAAAAGAGUAUUGUUUCUGAAGGCAAGUCAUUUGCAUAGAUGUCGAUGACCCCAUCUUUCUUUCUUCCUACAAAAUUCAAGCACAACAGCACUUCCAUGAGACCCGCCACCUCCACUUUUAUUUCCUUUCUAACAACACGACGACAACGUCUGCAUAGAACAUACUUAAGUGCACGAGAGCAGAAGAUGGCGUCCCUGUCGAUAAAUGGUUACAUCGUUUUCACACCAACAACCCCCGCAACGUAGAGCAAGCGAGAGAGGAAGAAUCAUAUCAACAAGCAUCUGGAAGGGGCGAUCUUACACUGAUAUGUGAUCGAAAUUUUCUGCGCCAACCACGUGCUGUGACUCCCGUGGGAAUCCAUGAGAGAAAUCAUACUUCAACGCUUUAUUGUGUGAGAACUUAGUUAAGUAGAACGAACCCUUUCAAGGACAAAGAUAAGUGACAAUUCGUUCGUUUUAUGCUGUGCAAACAAUAUCAGGCGACAUACGCCUACCACACCAUUUUUGGGGACUGUAGGUUCCUGAAAUGGCACGACGAAUUACUGUGCUAGUGCAUCAGCGUCGGAGUCCUGAUUUGGCACAACGAUACUUUUCUUUUUUUCAUGUGGGGCUCAGCGAAGAAGCAAGCUUACCAAACGUGGCAACAGGCCUUGGGUGAACUGGCAGCAUGGUUUUGAACGUCUCACGAACGUCUCACUGCAGCAGGCACACGAAAGAAUUGCGUCGCAACCACUCAAGGCCUGUGCGAAAAUAUCAACGUGCUACGAACCACUCGAGGAAGUCAGCAAGGAAGGCUGCUUACAGGUUGCUCCGAAGAAUGAUCAUCAGGG
Long non-coding RNA from Dermacentor albipictus, 1665 nucleotides. RefSeq lists it as uncharacterized. Lineage: Eukaryota; Metazoa; Arthropoda; Arachnida; Ixodida; Ixodidae. The record is from RefSeq and is a predicted model, not a curated record.